AAUGUGUAGUAUGCAGUUUAUAUAUAUAUUUUGUUAAAAAAAAAUAAUAUAAAUAUAUAUUUUUUUAAGAUUACUUUUGAAUGUUUGGUAAUAUUCAUAAUCCUUUUUUUUUGUUUUAAUAUUAGUCAGGUGUAUAUGUAUUAAAUACAUGUUUAUGCUUAUGCUUGUGCUUAUGAUUUUUUUUUUUUUUUUUUUUUUUUUUUUUUUUCAAGAUGAGCCAAAUUAAACAUCUUCCCCCCAUAGUUUAUUUAUUUCCUAAUAAUUAAAUCUGAAAAUCAUAAAAGAUAUAAAUAUGUUACAAAAAAAAAAAAAAUAAAAUAAAAAAAAAUACAAAGGAAUAAUUUUAAAUCUUAAUUACAGUAUUAUAUGAGUUAUUUUUUACGUAAUGUAUCAAAACACAUGUAGAAGUGUUAAGCAGAUAUUUGAAGAUGCAACUUUUAAUAAACGUGAUAGGACUGUACUAAAAUUUGACAACAAUAAGUUAAACUUAUUUUUUGAAAAUGGUAUUCUCAAUUAUAGCUUAAUUGAACUGAUCGGAAACGCGGGAAGUGGAAAGACACAAUUUGCUUUAACUGUAUGCGCAGAACAACUUAUAAAAAUAUAUAAAGAAAAUAAACAAGAUGUUAUUUUUUAUGUUUAUAUGAAAGGAUCAUUUCCUAUUAAAAAUCUUACUACCAUAAUACAACACAAACUAAAGCAUUAUAAUGAUAACAACGACAGUAACAGUAACAGUAACAACCAUAUAAACGAACAACAUAGCCUUUUUGGCUGCGUGCUAAAAAAUUUCGUUAACAAUGAAAGUAAUAAUAACAAAUUAAGUAAUAAUGAAAAAUUAAGUAAUAAUAACAAAUUAAGUAAUAAUGUUUGGAUAAAUAGUACAGAAAGGGACAUAAAUAAAACCGAAACUACCGCUUUUUCAAAUAGAUAUGAAAGUCAAACAUAUGACAAUAAUAACACAAGCAUUAGCAGUAGUAGCCAUAAUCCUAACUCGUUUUAUUUAAACCCUAAUAGUGAACAAGUGUUAAAAAAUAUAAUAUCAAAAUUAUAUAUUCAAAAAGUUAAUGAUGAAAAA
This 1072-nucleotide long non-coding RNA is filed under the name Piliocolobus tephrosceles (Ugandan red Colobus). RNAcentral describes it as "lncRNA (ENSPTEG00000002543.1)". The record is from RNAcentral. Lineage: Eukaryota; Metazoa; Chordata; Mammalia; Primates; Cercopithecidae.